RNAcentral lists this ribosomal RNA (472 nucleotides) under uncultured bacterium. RNAcentral describes it as "bacterial SSU rRNA". It matches the Rfam family "Bacterial small subunit ribosomal RNA", at positions 355 to 825 of the family's 1533-position model. The record is from RNAcentral.
UGGGGAAUAUUGGACAAUGGGCGCAAGCCUGAUCCAGCCAUACCGCGUGAGUGAAGAAGGCCUUCGGGUUGUAAAGCUCUUUCAGACGGAAAGAAACGGUUACGGCUAAUACCCGUGACUAAUGACGGUACCGUAAGAAGAAGCACCGGCUAACUACGUGCCAGCAGCCGCGGUAAUACGUAGGGUGCGAGCGUUAAUCGGAAUUACUGGGCGUAAAGCGUGCGCAGGCGGUUUGGUAAGACAGAUGUGAAAUCCCCGGGCUUAACCUGGGAACUGCAUUUGUGACUGCCAGACUAGAGUGUAGCAGAGGGGGGUAGAAUUCCACGUGUAGCAGUGAAAUGCGUAGAUAUGUGGAGGAAUACCGAUGGCGAAGGCAGCCCCCUGGGCUAACACUGACGCUCAUGCACGAAAGCGUGGGGAGCAAACAGGAUUAGAUACCCCCGUAGUCCCUGAGCGGGCUGGCAAGGCGCAU